UUAAGCGACUAAGCGUACACGGUGGAUGCCCUGGCAGUCAGAGGCGAUGAAGGACGUGCUAAUCUGCGAUAAGCGUCGGUGAGGUGAUAUGAACCGUUAUAACCAGCGAUUUCCGAAUGGGGAAACCCAGUGUGUUUCGACACACUAUCAUUAACUGAAUCCAUAGGUUAAUGAGGCGAACCGGGGGAACUGAAACAUCUAAGUACCCCGAGGAAAAGAAAUCAACCGAGAUUCCCCCAGUAGCGGCGAGCGAACGGGGAGGAGCCCAGAGCCUGAAUCAGUGUGUGUGUUAGUGGAAGCGUCUGGAAAGGCGUGCGAUACAGGGUGACAGCCCCGUACACAAAAAUGCACAUAUUGUGAGCUCGAUGAGUAGGGCGGGACACGUGGUAUCCUGUCUGAAUAUGGGGGGACCAUCCUCCAAGGCUAAAUACUCCUGACUGACCGAUAGUGAACCAGUACCGUGAGGGAAAGGCGAAAAGAACCCCGGCGAGGGGAGUGAAAAAGAACCUGAAACCGUGUACGUACAAGCAGUGGGAGCCUCUUAAUGGGGUGACUGCGUACCUUUUGUAUAAUGGGUCAGCGACUUAUAUUCUGUAGCAAGGUUAACCGAAUAGGGGAGCCGAAGGGAAACCGAGUCUUAACUGGGCGUUAAGUUGCAGGGUAUAGACCCGAAACCCGGUGAUCUAGCCAUGGGCAGGUUGAAGGUUGGGUAACACUAACUGGAGGACCGAACCGACUAAUGUUGAAAAAUUAGCGGAUGACUUGUGGCUGGGGGUGAAAGGCCAAUCAAACCGGGAGAUAGCUGGUUCUCCCCGAAAGCUAUUUAGGUAGCGCCUCGUGAAUUCAUCUCCGGGGGUAGAGCACUGUUUCGGCAAGGGGGUCAUCCCGACUUACCAACCCGAUGCAAACUGCGAAUACCGGAGAAUGUUAUCACGGGAGACACACGGCGGGUGCUAACGUCCGUCGUGAAGAGGGAAACAACCCAGACCGCCAGCUAAGGUCCCAAAGUCAUGGUUAAGUGGGAAACGAUGUGGGAAGGCCCAGACAGCCAGGAUGUUGGCUUAGAAGCAGCCAUCAUUUAAAGAAAGCGUAAUAGCUCACUGGUCGAGUCGGCCUGCGCGGAAGAUGUAACGGGGCUAAACCAUGCACCGAAGCUGCGGCAGCGACACUAUGUGUUGUUGGGUAGGGGAGCGUUCUGUAAGCCUGUGAAGGUGGCCUGUGAGGGUUGCUGGAGGUAUCAGAAGUGCGAAUGCUGACAUAAGUAACGAUAAAGCGGGUGAAAAGCCCGCUCGCCGGAAGACCAAGGGUUCCUGUCCAACGUUAAUCGGGGCAGGGUGAGUCGACCCCUAAGGCGAGGCCGAAAGGCGUAGUCGAUGGGAAACAGGUUAAUAUUCCUGUACUUGGUGUUACUGCGAAGGGGGGACGGAGAAGGCUAUGUUGGCCGGGCGACGGUUGUCCCGGUUUAAGCGUGUAGGCUGGUUUUCCAGGCAAAUCCGGAAAACCAAGGCUGAGGCGUGAUGACGAGGCACUACGGUGCUGAAGCGACAAAUGCCCUGCUUCCAGGAAAAGCCUCUAAGCAUCAGGUAACAUCAAAUCGUACCCAAAACCGACACAGGUGGUCAGGUAGAGAAUACCAAGGCGCUUGAGAGAACUCGGGUGAAGGAACUAGGCAAAAUGGUGCCGUAACUUCGGGAGAAGGCACGCUGAUAUGUAGGUGAAGCGACUUGCUCGUGGAGCUGAAAUCAGUCGAAGAUACCAGCUGGCUGCAACUGUUUAUUAAAAACACAGCACUGUGCAAACACGAAAGUGGACGUAUACGGUGUGACGCCUGCCCGGUGCCGGAAGGUUAAUUGAUGGGGUUAGCGGUAACGCGAAGCUCUUGAUCGAAGCCCCGGUAAACGGCGGCCGUAACUAUAACGGUCCUAAGGUAGCGAAAUUCCUUGUCGGGUAAGUUCCGACCUGCACGAAUGGCGUAAUGAUGGCCAGGCUGUCUCCACCCGAGACUCAGUGAAAUUGAACUCGCUGUGAAGAUGCAGUGUACCCGCGGCAAGACGGAAAGACCCCGUGAACCUUUACUAUAGCUUGACACUGAACAUUGAGCCUUGAUGUGUAGGAUAGGUGGGAGGCUUUGAAGUGUGGACGCCAGUCUGCAUGGAGUCGACCUUGAAAUACCACCCUUUAAUGUUUGAUGUUCUAACGUUGGCCCGUAAUCCGGGUUGCGGACAGUGUCUGGUGGGUAGUUUGACUGGGGCGGUCUCCUCCUAAAGAGUAACGGAGGAGCACGAAGGUUGGCUAAUCCUGGUCGGACAUCAGGAGGUUAGUGCAAUGGCAUAAGCCAGCUUGACUGCGAGCGUGACGGCGCGAGCAGGUGCGAAAGCAGGUCAUAGUGAUCCGGUGGUUCUGAAUGGAAGGGCCAUCGCUCAACGGAUAAAAGGUACUCCGGGGAUAACAGGCUGAUACCGCCCAAGAGUUCAUAUCGACGGCGGUGUUUGGCACCUCGAUGUCGGCUCAUCACAUCCUGGGGCUGAAGUAGGUCCCAAGGGUAUGGCUGUUCGCCAUUUAAAGUGGUACGCGAGCUGGGUUUAGAACGUCGUGAGACAGUUCGGUCCCUAUCUGCCGUGGGCGCUGGAGAACUGAGGGGGGCUGCUCCUAGUACGAGAGGACCGGAGUGGACGCAUCACUGGUGUUCGGGUUGUCAUGCCAAUGGCACUGCCCGGUAGCUAAAUGCGGAAGAGAUAAGUGCUGAAAGCAUCUAAGCACGAAACUUGCCCCGAGAUGAGUUCUCCCUGACUCCUUGAGGGUCCUGAAGGAACGUUGAAGACGACGACGUUGAUAGGCCGGGUGUGUAAGCGCAGCGAUGCGUUGAGCUAACCGGUACUAAUGAACCGUGAGGCUUAACCUU
This 2902-nucleotide ribosomal RNA is filed under the name Escherichia coli KTE201. RNAcentral describes it as "bacterial LSU rRNA". It matches the Rfam family "Bacterial large subunit ribosomal RNA". The record is from RNAcentral. Lineage: Bacteria; Pseudomonadati; Pseudomonadota; Gammaproteobacteria; Enterobacterales; Enterobacteriaceae.